RNAcentral lists this transfer RNA (77 nucleotides) under Acidobacteriota bacterium. RNAcentral's name for it is "Acidobacteria bacterium tRNA-Arg". It matches the Rfam family "tRNA". Rfam says of the family: Transfer RNA (tRNA) molecules are approximately 80 nucleotides in length. Their secondary structure includes four short double-helical elements and three loops (D, anti-codon, and T loops). Further hydrogen bonds mediate the characteristic L-shaped molecular structure. tRNAs have two regions of fundamental functional importance: the anti-codon, which is responsible for specific mRNA codon recognition, and the 3' end, to which the tRNAs corresponding amino acid is attached (by aminoacyl-tRNA synthetases). tRNAs cope with the degeneracy of the genetic code in two manners: having more than one tRNA (with a specific anti-codon) for a particular amino acid; and 'wobble' base-pairing, i.e. permitting non-standard base-pairing at the 3rd anti-codon position. The record is from RNAcentral. Lineage: Bacteria; Pseudomonadati; Acidobacteriota.
GCGCCUGUAGCUCAGGUGGAUAGAGCGGCGGAUUCCUAAUCCGCAGGUCGAAGGUUCGAGUCCUUCCAGGCGCACCA